This 882-nucleotide ribosomal RNA is filed under the name uncultured bacterium. RNAcentral describes it as "bacterial SSU rRNA". It matches the Rfam family "Bacterial small subunit ribosomal RNA", at positions 21 to 902 of the family's 1533-position model. The record is from RNAcentral.
GGCUCAGGAUGAACGCUAGCGGCAGGCUUAAUACAUGCAAGUCGUGGGGCAGCACAGGUAGCAAUACUGGGUGGCGACCGGCAAACGGGUGCGGAACACGUACGCAACCUUCCUUUAAGCGGGGAAUAGCCCAGGGAAACUUGGAUUAAUACCCCAUAAGACAGUGGAGUGGCAUCACUCAGCUGUUAAAGCUCCGGCACUUAAAGAUGGGCGUGCGGCUGAUUAGGUAGUUGGCGGGGUAACGGCCCACCAAGCCGACGAUCAGUAACUGGUGUGAGAGCACGACCAGUCACACGGGCACUGAGACACGGGCCCGACUCCUACGGGAGGCAGCAGUAAGGAAUAUUGGUCAAUGGACGCAAGUCUGAACCAGCCAUGCCGCGUGGAGGAUGAAGGCCCUCUGGGUUGUAAACUUCUUUUAUUGGGGAAGAAACCGGUGUUUUCUAACGCCGUUGACGGUACCCAUUGAAUAAGCACCGGCUAACUCCGUGCCAGCAGCCGCGGUAAUACGGAGGGUGCAAGCGUUAUCCGGAUUCACUGGGUUUAAAGGGUGCGUAGGUGGGUAGGUAAGUCAGUGGUGAAAUCUCCAAGCUUAACUUGGAAACUGCCGUUGAUACUAUUUAUCUUGAAUAUAGUGGAGGUGAGCGGAAUAUGUCAUGUAGCGGUGAAAUGCUUAGAUAUGACAUAGAACACCAAUUGCGAAGGCAGCUUGCUACACUAUUAUUGACACUGAGGCACGAAAGCGUGGAGAUCAAACAGGAUUAGAUACCCUGGUAGUCCACGCCCUAAACGAUGGAUACUCGACAUCAGCGAUACACUGUUGGUGUCUGAGCGAAAGCAUUAGGUAUCCCACCUGGGAAGUACGACCGCAAGGUGAAACUC